AGGAUCGGCUAACUCCGUGCCAGCAGCCGCGGUAAUACGGAGGAUCCAAGCGUUAUCCGGAAUCAUUGGGUUUAAAGGGUCCGUAGGCGGACUAAUAAGUCAGAGGUGAAAUCCUGCAGCUCAACUGUAGAACUGCCUUUGAUACUGUUUGUCUUGAGUUAUUAUGAAGUGGUUAGAAUGUGUAGUGUAGCGGUGAAAUGCAUAGAUAUUACACAGAAUACCGAUUGCGAAGGCAGAUCACUAAUAAUUAACUGACACUGAUGGACGAAAGCGUGGGUAGCGAACAGGAUUAGAUACCCUGGUAGUCCACGCCGUAAACGAUGGUCACUAGCUGUUUGGACUUCGGUCUGAGUGGCUAAGCGAAAGUGAUAAGUGACCCACCUGGGGAGUACGUUCGCAAGAAUGAAACUCAAAUGAAUUGACGG
Molecule: ribosomal RNA, 425 nt
Filed under: uncultured Flavobacteriia bacterium
Lineage: Bacteria; Pseudomonadati; Bacteroidota; Flavobacteriia
Description: bacterial SSU rRNA
Rfam family: Bacterial small subunit ribosomal RNA
Source: RNAcentral